RNAcentral lists this ribosomal RNA (231 nucleotides) under uncultured bacterium. RNAcentral's name for it is "partial 16S ribosomal RNA". It matches the Rfam family "Bacterial small subunit ribosomal RNA", at positions 103 to 334 of the family's 1533-position model. The record is from RNAcentral.
CGGGUGAGUAACACGUGGGUGACCUGCCCUUAGCUCUGGGAUAAGCCUGGGAAACUGGGUCUAAUACCGGAUAUGACUCCAUGACGCAUGUUGUGGGGUGGAAAGCCUUGUGCGGCUAGGGAUGGGCCCGCGGCCUAUCAGCUUGUUGGUGGGGUGAUAGCCUACCAAGGCGACGACGGGUAGCCGGCCUGAGAGGGCGACCGGCCACACUGGGACUGAGACACGGCCCAG